GGCCCAAUAGCAUAGCGGUCAAUGCCUCGCCCAUUCAUAGGCUCAGUGGGUGAUUUUAGGCGAAGGUCGCAGGUUCGACUCCUGCUUGGGCCC
Molecule: non-coding RNA, 93 nt
Organism: Mycena leptocephala
Lineage: Eukaryota; Fungi; Basidiomycota; Agaricomycetes; Agaricales; Mycenaceae
Source: the annotation of a GenBank genome assembly